AACAGUGUAGUUUAACAUUAAAACGUUAAUUUUCCAAAUUAAAGAUUCUGUUCAGAUACUGUUA
RNAcentral lists this transfer RNA (64 nucleotides) under Clavelina lepadiformis (light-bulb sea squirt). RNAcentral's name for it is "tRNA-Gly2". It matches the Rfam family "tRNA". From Rfam's summary of the family: Transfer RNA (tRNA) molecules are approximately 80 nucleotides in length. Lineage: Eukaryota; Metazoa; Chordata; Ascidiacea; Aplousobranchia; Clavelinidae. The record is from RNAcentral.